UCAUGGCUCAGAUUGAACGCUGGCGGCAGGCCUAACACAUGCAAGUCGAGCGGUAGCACAAGAGAGCUUGCUCUCUGGGUGACGAGCGGCGGACGGGUGAGUAAUGUCUGGGAAACUGCCUGAUGGCGGGGGAUAACUAGUGGAAACGGUAGCUAAUACCGCAUAACGUCGCAAGACCAAAGUGGGGGACCUUCGGGCCUCACGCCAUCAGAUGUGCCCAGGUGGGAUUAGCUGGUAGGUGGGGUAACGGCUCACCUAGGCGACGAUCCCUAGCUGGUCUGAGAGGAUGACCAGCCACACUGGAACUGAGACACGGUCCAGACUCCUACGGGAGGCAGCAGUGGGGAAUAUUGCACAAUGGGCGCAAGCCUGAUGCAGCCAUGCCGCGUGUGUGAAGAAGGCCUUCGGGUUGUAAGCACUUUCAGCGAGGAGGAAGGGUAAUGUGUUAAUA
Molecule: ribosomal RNA, 451 nt
Filed under: Serratia symbiotica
Lineage: Bacteria; Pseudomonadati; Pseudomonadota; Gammaproteobacteria; Enterobacterales; Yersiniaceae
Description: bacterial SSU rRNA
Rfam family: Bacterial small subunit ribosomal RNA
Source: RNAcentral